UACGGGGGGGGCAAGCGUUGUUCGGAAUUACUGGGCGUAAAGGGCUCGUAGGCGGCCAACUAAGUCAGAUGUGAAAUCCCCGGGCUCAACCCGGGAACUGCGUCCGAUACUGGAAGGCUUGAAUCCGGGAGAGGGAUGUGGAAUUCCAGGUGUAGCGGUGAAAUGCGUAGAUAUCUGGAGGAACACCGGUGGCGAAGGCGACAUCCUGGACCGGUAUUGACGCUGAGGCGCGAAAGCCAGGGGAGCAAACGGG
RNAcentral lists this ribosomal RNA (253 nucleotides) under uncultured bacterium. RNAcentral's name for it is "partial 16S ribosomal RNA". It matches the Rfam family "Bacterial small subunit ribosomal RNA", at positions 524 to 776 of the family's 1533-position model. The record is from RNAcentral.